Molecule: non-coding RNA, 8536 nt
Organism: Monodelphis domestica (gray short-tailed opossum)
Lineage: Eukaryota; Metazoa; Chordata; Mammalia; Didelphimorphia; Didelphidae
Source: RefSeq, a predicted model, not a curated record
GGCUAGCGAAGGCCGCCUCGGAUAGUCACGUGGCUACCGCUUCCGACGACGCAGCAGCGGAUCUCGCGAGUAUUCUCUACACCCUCCUCCCCUUCCCAGUUUCACCACGUUCUUACCCCCCCCCACGACUCCCCCCGAAAGUGUUGCCGGGAAGAAGGUCUCAAACAACUCGUGGUUCCAUGAGGAGGUCGGCAGGCGCGCAGGCGCGCCCCGGCCCCAUGCUCUCAGAUCAGCUGUUCUAGAUCUAUUCCACUUUAAAAGCCUGAAGAGCCAGCCCAUCCUUUCCCAUGCUUCCCAAGCCCUACUGGCGGGAACUCGUGCCCUGAUGGGAAUGCACCUGUGGGUGAUAACGCUAGGCUAUUCUUGCAUACUCUGCAGUUUAUUUGGGGAGAGGGAGGAAGAAGACCCCCCCCCCCUCUUGCCUAGGCAGAAGGGACUGGUGUUAGGUCAAAUUCUUCUACGACCAGCUGGCUAGAAUGAAUGGAAGCUCCCCAAAGGCAGGGACUGUUCCAGUCUUAAAUAGUCAGGUUCAAGAGGCAAGGGACAUUGCCAAUUUUGGGCUGGCAGUUGGAAGACCCGCAUUUGAAUUCUGACUUUGCUAAUUCUUACAUAGGGCAAAUCCUGCUUUUAUAUUUUCACUUAUUCCAAAAAUGAACUAGAAGAACUAGAAUCUUAAUUAAGAGACCUAGUCCAACUAGUGCCUUAAAAACCUUCCCUACAACAAGGACUAUAAAUGAGAUUUACAGUAAUUUGCUAUAAUUGGUUUCCUUUUUCAUCCUAUGUAUUUUAUGUUAAAAACUUUCUGAAACAGAAUCCUUUGGCUUCUCUUGCAAGACAUUAUAUAAAUUCUAGUUUGCUCUUAAAUGGGACCUGGAAGGCAGACAUUAAUGGAAAUGACAUCAGCUUGGAAGGUCUUUGGUGGAAUACCCCAGUGAUCUAUCUGUUGUUGGACCUAAGAUGUGUAUCUUGGAUGAAGGCACAAGGAAUGCUUAUCAGAUGUGAAAAUGAAAACAAAGCUGGGAGAGCAGCACCCAGGGAAGAGGGAGCUACUACAGCAGAGGAAGAGUUGGAUCAGGCAAGGGCAUUAGUCACAUUUUUGAACAGAGUUCAUCACUGCAAAUGCCUUCAGUGUUAACCAACUAGGAAAAGGAUUUUCCCCAUAUUUGCUCAAAUUUAUCGUCUGCCUUUUAACAAGUCAAGUUCAAUUAUGUUUCUAAUUUCACUGAGCUUUACUAUACCUUCUAAAAGCUUCCCUUCCAAUGAAAAUUAAGGCACUGGAUCUUAAACUAGCCCAUGGUGGUCUUUCACACAAGACUUAUAACUUGAUGAAUUACUUUUCCUGAAUGUUAAUACUAGUAAGAAUAGGAAUGGUGUGAAUUUUAAAACUACUCCACCCUACUCAGACCCUACUUUAGAAGAUUUGAUUUAGCUAUUUCCUGAUUGUAACAAUGGAGAUACUUGGUCUAACAGAAUCAGGAAUGUCUUGGGAACUCUACAUUGCUCCACCCUACUUAGUCUAACAAGGUCAGGAAUGUCUGCACCCAUACUUAAGGAUUAAGUAUCUAGGGGGAUGGCCUUUGAUAGACAUGUGCAGAAACAGCUGACAGACCCCUGGGCUCAAGCUAAGCUACCACUGGUACAGAUAAGAUGCAGGAAAGUGAUGUAAAACCGUCUAUAUGGGGCGUGUCACUUUCUCUCUUCAAUCUCUUUCCCCAGAGAGGUGGAUCUGGCUGAUCACUUCCUGUGAGCAGCCUGGGUGCCAGAUCUAUCCUGGAACUAGAGCCUACAGGAGCUCCCUCAGACAGCUUCCUUGAGACAGUCACCUGGUGAAUGAUAAGACUGAUUUCCCUUUCCCUUGGACUCAGGGGAGGCCCCUUUGGCCAAGGCCUUUAACUCUUGCCUGGCUCAGCCUGAGCUAGAGCAGUUAAAUUAACUCUUUCUUCUCCCUCUCCUCCUUAAUUCCUUCUCUCUAUAUUAUCCUUCUCUCUAUAUUAAUUAAAAUUAAUUAAAAUCAUCAAAAUUUCCAGCUGACUUGGGUAUUUUAUUAUUUGGGAUUUUCCCUGGCGACCAAUUAAAUAUAGUUUAGGUCACAACACUAAAAUUAUCCUUACAAUGGCUAACACUUGAAGUUGACAAAGUGCUUUAUAUAUAUUAUCUCAUUUGAUCCUCAUAACAACCAAAUGAGUUAGGUGUUGUUAUCCUUAUUUUAUAGAUGAAUAAACUGAGGCUUUUGGUGACUUGCCUAGGAUCAUACCACUAAGAAGUAUAUCUAAGGUCAGUCAGGCACAACAUAAAGGAAAUGUAGAAAUAGAAUGUGCUAGGCAGGACAAACCACCUCAACUACCACCUUACCUUCUACCCUGAUGGAGAUAGGUCAGGACCCUGAGUCUAAGAAUCCUAAUAAUAGGAAUGAACCCCAGUUUCCUGUUCCUUGCUUCUAGCCUGGCUCCUAGAGCCACAGUCCAAGGAAACAACUCUUGUGGAGAUGUGGCCACCCUGCUGUGAGAAAAAGGAAAAGGAAAGUUCUCAAAGGCCUUGUUGGUAGGCAAAUGGUUCAACAUCAUAAGUAAUAAAGUUGUUUUUAUUAAUGAAAAUGACAUUAGAGAAGAUACAUUUGUAACAUAAGAAUGGUGGUCUGGCUAGAGUUAUAAGCAUUUAUUAAUAAAAUGAGCAAAAGAAGAGAGUGUCUGCUUUGCACAUUCACCCUCAAGACUAUGGAGCCUGUCUAUCAAACUUAUACAUGAAACUUCCCAUAUGUGCUGCCUUUCCUGAUUAGGAUGUGGGUUCCCUGAGAAUACAAGCUGUCUUACCUUUUAUUUAGAUCUUCAGGGCUUUGCACAGAAGUAAACACAAUGUUCUUCCUUCAAUUGAUCCAUCCUUCCCUUUCAUCCACCCUCCCUUCCAUUCAUCUAUCCUCCUUUCCUUCCAUCCACCCUCCUUUCCUUCCCUUAUUCCAAAACAGCAUUUCAUAUACUAGUCCAAACUGUCUCUCUUAACUAGUGUUCUAAGAUUAUACAUAUUAUAUAGGCAAUGAGUUAUGUUUCUGUUAUGAAGUUAUGAAGAAGUUUCACUUCUUAAGUCAUCCCCUGAGAAUGCCAGCUAUUCCAUUCAUUCAUUUAAUAAACAUAUUAAAUGCCUACUCUGUGCCAGGACUGUGCUAAGUGCUAGGAUACAAAAAGAGGCAAAAGACAGUUCCUUCUCUCAAGGAGGGUAUGCUAAUUCUGAUCAUAUUCAACUACUGUUAUCUUGAGGUUUAAGAGUAUUUUACUGAUAUUAACCAACCCUUUCCUUGUGCCCCACAAAGCUGGGACACUCUCUUCUUUGGGGGAAAAAAAAAUCAAGCUGCUACAUUCAACAUUUUCCAUCAAAUUACCUCUGCAAAUAAUCCUUAGCUUAUAUUUUACUAAAUCAUCUCUUUCACAAUGCUAAAAUAAAAGUAUCAUGCAGGUAUUUGUAGAGAAAAUGCUGUACAAUUUCAUUGUAAAUCAGUUUCAGAGAAAGGCUAUGAACAGAAGUAAAAUUCAUGUUCUCCAAAGAACUGUAUUUGUGCUCCAAACCCAAGAUUUCAAAUGCUUAUUUCAACAAACUGUCACUAAACAAAUCUAUUAAAUCAAUUUGUUCCAAUACAGCAAAAACAAAAAUGAUUCAUCUGUCUGACUUCAUAUCCAUUCAUAUUUUAGGUCUUUAAGAUAAAAGGAGAAUUGCUUCCUGUAACCUAGUCUCAAGUGCUUAAUAAUAAGCUCUUUACUUCUGUAAGGCAUGUAUUGGGAAAUAUUCAUUUGAAGACCUUGAAUUAAGAGCACUCAAAUUUCCAAAAUUAUCCAAUAAAAGUAAAAGUUUCAGGAAGAAAUUUAUUAUAAAUGAAUUUACUUCACCUUUAUUAUCAAUGAAAGGCAACAUGGAAUGAGAGAGUUGUUCUGUGAGCCAAAAAACCCAGGGCAGGUCCUAUCUCCAACACACACUAGCCAUGUAAUGACUGUAGAGUAAGCCUCUUCACUUCUUAAUGUUCUGGGUAAUUAAUGACCACAUUAUAGAGAAGAUGCUGAUCUUAAUUGGUAGAAAGAGUUCCUUCAUUCCCAGAAGUUCCUCAAACCAUAGAAAUCAGUCCUUAACCCUUGUUAUCCAUUUUGUUUUUGAGCUUAAACAUCUUUAUGGAAGUAGUUUGGCAAGAGAAAUCCAGCAUCUUUUAUAAUAACAUGGAUGUACUUUAUUGUUGUUCAGUUGAGUCCAACUAUUUCUAACCCCAUGACAAUAGCACAACAGUACUACUGUCCAUUGGGUUUUCUUGGCAAAGAUACUAGAGUGGUUUUCCAUUUCCUUCUUCAGACGAUGAAGACAAACAGAUGUUAAGUGACUUACCCAGGGUCAUAACAGCUAGGAAGUGUCUGAGGCCAUAUUUCAACUUGGGUUUUCCCGACUCCAGGCCUAGCACUCUAUAUCCACUGCACUACCUACGUGCCUCUUUUUGGUCAGCUCCUACAGCAAAACACUUUUGCUAAGAACCUUCCUUUUGAUGGACUAUUGUGACUAAAUAUGAUGACUCUUGUAAGAGGGAUCACAUUUUUAACUAGUGUUUGAAGACAAGUAUUUCAUUCAGAAAUCAAUUUAUCUCUUAAAUUCAGAGUGCAAUAUAUUUCUCCAACAACAUAUCAUUUUUCAUUAGCUUGUCAGUUUUGUGACUAACUGUAUUCAUCUUCAUCUACUUGUAAUACAAAAAAUCAGAUAUUUUGUUUUUUCUCUGGUUGCACCAAUGCUAUUCCUAUCAAAUGAGUUUUCAAAAAAUACUUAACAAUUCUGUUUUUGCUUUGUUUUUCAGUUCUAUCUGACUCUCCAUGACCCCAUUUAGGGUUUUCUAGUAAAGAUACUGAAGUAGUUUCCCAUUUCCUUAUCCCACUCAUUUUACACAUGAGGAAACUGAGGAAAAAAGGAGAAGUAACUUAACCAGGGUCACUUAGAUUUGAGCUCACAUCUUCUUGAUUCUAGCUGUCCACUAGGGCACUUUAACCUAAAAAAACUUCAUAUGUAACUAAUGUGUUUUGUGUAUUGUAUUUUGACUUUUCAAAGGAGGGAAGAAAGGAUGGAGGGAGGGAGAAAAUUUGGAACUCAGAAUAAAAAGACAAAAAACAUAGUGCUUGAAUAGUUUCCCAAGAGCUCAUUGCAGAAUUUUUCAUUGUGAGAUUUUAUACUCCUGUGACAUAGCAAAUGCUUGAUAUUAUUGUUUAAUUGAAUGUCUAUGCUAGACUUCAGAAAGUUAUUAGGAAAAUGCUAACAACGCAAAUUAAAAUUAAAAGUGGAAGGGGAUGUAUUUUUUGUAAAACAAGUUCUGGACUCAGAAUUUGCUACUCAACCUACUCUUUAUACAUUUUUGUACCCAGAUAAGGAAACAACUUGCCCAGGUGACAAAAGCAGUCUUUUUGUCAAAUAAAUGAACUUUUCUUUCACUUAAUCUUUGGAGCUCCUCAUUUCCAGAUCUCAACUUGUUUUGUUGGGCUUGUUUUUAGCUCAGGAAUUGAUCACAGAAUGAAAAAGACCAUAUUGUUUAUGUCUGUUGCUUAGAUGAUCAGCCUGAUGGGGUAGCCUGGCCCUCUCAACAAGGACCCCCAGUUUCUUUCACUCAGGAAGAAAUAAUGCCACAAUAUGAUGAAAGAACGAUCUAGAUUAUAUGCAGUUUUAUACUUUGAACAAAUAUCUUCUUUCUGGAGUGAUAAAAGUAUUAUGUUAUUUUGUUUCAGGGUUUUGUUUUUUUUCCAGUCACGUACAACUCUCCAUGACCCCAUUUAGAGUUUUCUUAGCAAAGAUACUCAAGUGGUUUGCAUUUCUUUCACUAGCUCAUUUUACAGAUGAGGAAACUGAGGCAAAUAGGAUUAGGUGACUUGCAUAGGGUCACCCAAUUAGGUGAUAUCUGAAGCUACAUUUGAACUUAGAAAGAUCCUUCCUGGCUCCAGGCCUGGCAUUCAGUACACUGUAGUACUACCUAGCUGCCCCUUAUAAUUCAAGGCAAUAGAUAGAAAGCCCUGGAUUUGAAAUCAGCUUUGGGUUCAAAUCCAGCCCCAGACAUUUUCUAGCGGUGUGACCAGUCACUCAAUAUCUCUCAGGCUCAUGUUCCAAAUCUGUAAAAUGUUGCUCAAUUAAUAAACAUUUACAUUUCAACUACAUGCUAGAUAUAGAGACUCUGAGACCACAAAAACAAAAAUUAAAGUCUCUUUACAUUCUUUUGGGAAAAGAUGGUGUGGGGAAGGGACACAUGACAUGUAAAUAAUUAUUUACAAAAUAAAUGCAAAGUACUUUGGGAGAUAAUAUCUGUAACAUAAACCUCAAAGUAGGUACAGUCAAGCUCAAAUAAUAAAAUGGAUGCAAAGCAGUUGUCAGUUAUAAUAACAAUGUCUCUUAUUAUUAACAUUAUUAUUCUGGACUCCUCAAAAUUAUUCUGGACUCCUCAAACAUUACAAAUCUGAUCUUUAGAUCUGGGACAAGAAGCAUUAGAGGAAGGGCAGCUGAGUGGCUCAGUGGAUUGAGAACCAGGCCUAGAGACAGAAGGUCCCUGGGUUCAAAUUUAGAUUCAGAAACUUCCUAGCUGUGUGACCUUGGACAAGUCACUUAACCCCAAAUUGCCUAGUUCUGACCACUCUCCUACCUUGAAACCAAUAUUAGUAAUUGAUUCUAAGACAGAUGGUGAGGGGUUUUUUGGUUUUGUUUUUAAAUAAGAAGCAGUAGCAUUAAUGGUCAUUGGUUGAAAUCUGAACUGGUAUUAAUUAAUUUAAUUAAUUUAAUUUAAUUUAAUUUAAUUAACUGGAAUAAUUAAUUUAAAGCUCAAUUUACUGAACUGUAAAUUAGGGAUAAUGAUAUCAACUUAAUUCCCAGGGUUGUGAAGAUCAGAUGUGAUGAUUAGCUUUUUUAAAACCCUUACCUUCAGUCUUAGAAAAUAGAUACAAAGUAUUAGUGCCAAGACAGAAGAAUGGUAAGGGCUAGGCAGUUCAGAUUAAGGGAUUUACCCAGGGUCACACAGUUUAGAAUCAUCUGAAUCCAUAUUUGAAUCCAGCACUUCUCUUGGCCUGACUGUCUAUCCACUAAGAUACCUAGCUGCUCCAAGAAGAUAUUUUCAAAAGGUGUAUUUAACACACUGCCUGAUAUGCAGUAAGCAUCUAAUAAUUUUGUUCCUUUUCCUCCUUCCCUCUAUAAGAAAUGACCAUGGGGGCAGGUAGUUAGCAGCACAGUGGAUAGAAAACCAGGUGAUCCUGGGUUCAAAUAAGGCUUUGGACAUUUUCUAGUGGUAUGACCCUUGGCAAGUCACCUAAUCCCAUUUGCCUAAUAACCCUUGCCCUUCUAUCUUAAAGUUAUUAUUAAAACGUAAAGCAAGGGUUUAAAAAAAUAGAAGAGAGAAGAAACAAGUUAAGAAGAUACAAAUUGGAAUUUUUUCCCCUACUUUGCUAAACAUAAUAUUCAGGUUUAAAAAACUAACAAGUUCAUAGUCUCAUAUAAAAUACUCUUCUGUUCUUAUAUGUAUAUGUAUGUAUGUACGUGUGCAUUUUUUAACCCUUCUCUUCUGUCUUAGUAUCAAUUAAAAAAUAGAGGAGUGACAAGGGCUAGGCAGUUGGGGUUAAGUGAUUUGCCCAGGGUUACAUAGCUAGGAAACAUUUAAAGCCAAAUUUGAACAUAAGUCCUCCCAAUUCCAAGCUUAACUUUCUAUCCACUGUGCAACCUAGCUACACUUUAUAUCUAUAUUAAUAUUUAUAGCUCGAAAGCUAUACUAGAGGCCACAAGGAAAACUGUAGCCCAGAUAGGUUAAGUGACUGGCCCAGGGUCACACAGCAUAAACUAAGUGGCAGGUCUGGCAUUUGAACCCAGUUUCUCUGACUCCCAAUCUAUUAUUCCAUAUUGAAAUGAUAUCUUGCUGAACAUUAAGCUCUAAUAAAAAGGAAAAUUUAAAAUAAUAAUUUAGAACACAGCAGAAACAAAAUUUUUUAAAGGAGGUAUUCCCUAAAUACUUCAGGAUGAUAAAGAAGAAAUUGAAAGCACAUGUUAACCAUGGUCACUUAGAAGUGCCAGCUGAUUUUAGGGUGUUCUAGGUGCUCUAGGGAAGUAAGAGUAGCACCCAAAAGGGACCAGACCAAGAAUCUGAGCUGGAAGGCCAACUCUGUUGCUGCUUCUCAUCACAGUGACCUUGGACAUUCAUUCAUUCAUCAAGCAUUGAAAUGUCAAGUAUGUGCUAGCUCUAGAUUUUGGCAAUGCAGAGAGAAAAAGGCAACAGUCUCUCCCCUUAAGGAGAUUACAUUGUAUUGAGAAAACAACAUUUGCCUAAAUAGUACAAGAUAUAUACAAAGUAAAUACAAAACAAUGAAAUCAAAUAGAAAGAUGGGUCUCAUUGGACUGGAACUGAGCUUUGAAGGAAGCAAUGACUUAGAGAGUGGUAGACUGGCCUAUGCCAAGGCAUAGAGAUAGAAGAUGGAAUGUCAUGUAUGAGAAACAGCAAGGAGGCCCAAUCUAAUUAAAAUUCAAGAGCAGUGAAAGAAAAGUAAGGUAGAGACUGGAAAGAAAA